RNAcentral lists this ribosomal RNA (720 nucleotides) under Lutibacter sp. RNAcentral's name for it is "bacterial SSU rRNA". It matches the Rfam family "Bacterial small subunit ribosomal RNA", at positions 28 to 739 of the family's 1533-position model. The record is from RNAcentral. Lineage: Bacteria; Pseudomonadati; Bacteroidota; Flavobacteriia; Flavobacteriales; Flavobacteriaceae.
GAUGAACGCUAGCGGCAGGCUUAACACAUGCAAGUCGAGGGGUAACAGGGAAAAGCUUGCUUUUUUGCUGACGACCGGCGCACGGGUGAGUAACGCGUAUAGAACCUACCUUUUACAGGGGAAUAGCCCAGAGAAAUUUGGAUUAAUGCCCUAUAGUAUUAUUGAGUGGCAUCAUUUAAUAAUUAAACAUUUAUGGGUAAAAGAUGGCUAUGCGUUCUAUUAGCUAGAUGGUAAGGUAACGGCUUACCAUGGCAACGAUAGAUAGGGGUCCUGAGAGGGAGAUCCCCCACACUGGUACUGAGACACGGACCAGACUCCUACGGGAGGCAGCAGUGAGGAAUAUUGGACAAUGGAGGCAACUCUGAUCCAGCCAUGCCGCGUGCAGGAAGACGGCCCUAUGGGUUGUAAACUGCUUUUAUACGGGAAGAAACCCAACUACGUGUAGUUGGCUGACGGUACCGUAAGAAUAAGCACCGGCUAACUCCGUGCCAGCAGCCGCGGUAAUACGGAGGGUGCAAGCGUUAUCCGGAAUCAUUGGGUUUAAAGGGUCCGUAGGCGGGCUAAUAAGUCAGGGGUGAAAUCCAACAGCUUAACUGUUGAACUGCCUUUGAUACUGUUAGUCUUGAAUUAUAUGGAAGUAGAUAGAAUGUGUAGUGUAGCGGUGAAAUGCUUAGAGAUUACACAGAAUACCGAUUGCGAAGGCAGUCUACUACGUAUAUA